This 100-nucleotide small nuclear RNA is filed under the name Canis lupus familiaris (dog). RNAcentral also lists the same sequence under 1 other name. The record is from RNAcentral. Lineage: Eukaryota; Metazoa; Chordata; Mammalia; Carnivora; Canidae.
GUGCUCACUUCGGCAGCACAUACACUAAAAUUGGAACGAGAAAGAGAAGGUUAGUGUGGCCCCCACGCAAGGUCGGCACGCAAACAUUUUCUAGCUUUAU